AUUGAACGCUGGCGGCAUGCUUUACACAUGCAAGUCGAACGGCAGCACGGGUGCUUGCACCUGGUGGCGAGUGGCGGACGGGUGAGUAAUACAUCGGAACGUGUCCAGAAGAGGGGGAUAACGCAUCGAAAGAUGUGCUAAUACCGCAUAUGCUCUGAGGAGGAAAGUGGGGGAUCGAAAGACCUUACGCUUUUGGAGCGGCCGAUGUCUGAUUAGCUAGUUGGUGGGGUAAGGGCCUACCAAGGCGACGAUCAGUAGUUGGUCUGAGAGGACGACCAGCCACACUGGGACUGAGACACGGCCCAGACUCCUACGGGAGGCAGCAGUGGGGAAUUUUGGACAAUGGGCGCAAGCCUGAUCCAGCAAUGCCGCGUGAGUGAAGAAGGCCUCGGUUGUAAACGUAC
Molecule: ribosomal RNA, 404 nt
Filed under: uncultured bacterium
Lineage: Bacteria
Description: bacterial SSU rRNA
Rfam family: Bacterial small subunit ribosomal RNA
Source: RNAcentral